RNAcentral lists this ribosomal RNA (512 nucleotides) under uncultured eubacterium WR8158. Its description in RNAcentral is "bacterial SSU rRNA". It matches the Rfam family "Bacterial small subunit ribosomal RNA", at positions 9 to 527 of the family's 1533-position model. The record is from RNAcentral.
GAGUUUGAUCAUGGCUCAGAUUGAACGCUGGCGGCAUGCCUAACACAUGCAAGUCGAACGGGAGUAGCAAUACUCUAGUGGCGGACGGGUGAGGAAUACAUAGGAAUUUGCCCUUAAGUGGGGGAUAGUCCGGGGAAACUCGGUUUAAUACCGCAUGAUCUCGUGAGAGCAAAGCAGGGGACCGCAAGGCCUUGCGCUCUUGGAGAAGCCUAUGUCGGAUUAGCUAGUUGGUGAGGUAAUGGCUCACCAAGGCGACGAUCCGUAACUGGUCUGAGAGGAUGAUCAGUCACACCGGAACUGAGACACGGUCCGGACUCCUACGGGAGGCAGCAGUGGGGAAUAUUGGACAAUGGGCGAAAGCCUGAUCCAGCAAUGCCGCGUGUGUGAAGAAGGCCUUCGGGUUGUAAAGCACUUUAGGUUGGGAAGAAAAAAUUCGGGCGAAUAUCCCGAGUCUUGACGGUACCGACAGAAUAAGCACCGGCUAACUCUGUGCCAGCAGCCGCGGUAAUACG